This 1050-nucleotide long non-coding RNA is filed under the name Mus musculus (house mouse). Its description in RNAcentral is "long non-coding RNA chr15:4432331-4433381". Lineage: Eukaryota; Metazoa; Chordata; Mammalia; Rodentia; Muridae. The record is from RNAcentral.
GGGAAGCAGUCCAAAUUAGCACAAGCAAUACAGCAGGAAUCAAGUUUAUCAAAACUCAGGAAAAUGGAUCAUCAAGGGAAGGCUAAACUUGGGAGACAAAGUCAAAGCUCAGUCUUCCUUUCCCUUGAACACUCUGUCCUCCAUCUUAAUUUUAUGUUUAGUGUUUAGUGUUAAUGGUCAACUUGGCAGGAUCUAGAAUUGCCUAGAAAACUCAGCCAUGCCUAAAUGGGAUUAUGCUGAGUAACUGACUUGGGAAUACCCAUAUCAAAUUUUUUGUGGUACCAUUAAUUAGGUAGGGGCUUCUGGACUGUGCAAAAUGGAUUAAUAGUUUUGAGCACCGGCAGGCAUCCAUUGUUGAUGUAGUGUGAUCAACUGCUUCAAGCUCCUGCUGCCUAGACUCUCUCAUCAUGAUGGACUGACUGCAGUGUGAAGUGAAAGCAAUAUUAAAUAGUUUCUCUAUUAAGAUGUUGUGUUAGGAUAUUUUAUAGCAACAGGAAAACAAAUUAAGAUAUGGUUCUUGGUUUUAUUUCAAUGAGGAAAGUGAUUCCUUUGGGAAGCAAGACUUGGCUAACAGUGUGACAGUCAAAAGGUCAAUAUUGUCUAACACAGUCAUGAAACUGACCUCAACUGAGAGUUGGGUAAAGAUUAUUUUAAGAGGGAGGCAAGCCUUUGAGCUAUAUAAGUACAACAAAUGAUAUUUUAUUGUACUAUUCACUGAAUCAGUUGAUUAUAUUGUUUAAGGGAAACUGUUAUCUGGAAGCUCUAGAAUUAUAGAUAGAUAGGUAGAUAGAUAGAUAGAUAGAUAGAUAGAUAGAUAGAUAGAUAGAUAGAUAGAUAGAUAGAUAGAUAGGUAGGUAGGUAGGUAGGUAGGUAGGUAGAUAGAUAGAUAGAUAGAUAGAUAGAUAGAUAGAUAGAUAGAUAGAUAGAUAGAUGGAUAGACAGACCACAGGAGAGCUAGCUCUACAGGUGAAUUUCCUUCUGGCACUCACUCCUAACUGGGUGAGUUAUAAGGUCAUCUGCUGAACCUAAAAUAAGGAACAGAUACUCAGC